UACAGAGACUGCAAGCGUUAUUCGGAUUCACUGGGCGUAAAGGGUGCGUAGGCGGUCGGGUAAGUCUGGCGUGAAAUCUCCAAGCCUAACUUGGAAACUGCGUUGGAUACUAUCCGGCUCGAGGAAUGGAGGGGAGACUGGAAUACUUGGUGUAGCAGUGAAAUGCGUAGAUAUCAAGUGGAACACCAGUGGCGAAGGCGAGUCUCUGGACAUUUCCUGACGCUGAGGCACGAAAGCCAGGGGAGCAAACGGG
RNAcentral lists this ribosomal RNA (253 nucleotides) under uncultured bacterium. Its description in RNAcentral is "partial 16S ribosomal RNA". It matches the Rfam family "Bacterial small subunit ribosomal RNA", at positions 524 to 776 of the family's 1533-position model. The record is from RNAcentral.